AAUAGGAGAAUGACAAAUCAGAUUUUUUCUCCUAAUUUUCAGUUUUUUUCUCCUAACAAAAUUUAAAUUCAACUAAAAAUGCUAAAAAUCAGGAGGAAAAAUCUGAUUUGUUAUUCUCCUGUU
Gossypium arboreum is the source of this 123-nucleotide microRNA precursor. It matches the Rfam family "MIR7504 microRNA precursor family". Lineage: Eukaryota; Viridiplantae; Streptophyta; Magnoliopsida; Malvales; Malvaceae. The record is from Rfam.